UAGGGAAUCUUCGGCAAUGGACGAAAGUCUGACCGAGCAACGCCGCGUGAGUGAAGAAGGUUUUCGGAUCGUAAAACUCUGUUGGUAGAGAAGAACGUUGGUGAGAGUGGAAAGCUCAUCAAGUGACGGUAACUACCCAGAAAGGGACGGCUGACUACGUGCCAG
RNAcentral lists this ribosomal RNA (165 nucleotides) under uncultured bacterium. Its description in RNAcentral is "partial 16S rRNA". It matches the Rfam family "Bacterial small subunit ribosomal RNA", at positions 355 to 511 of the family's 1533-position model. The record is from RNAcentral.